UACGGAGGGAGCUAGCGUUGUUCGGAAUUACUGGGCGUAAAGCGCGCGUAGGCGGCUUUGUAAGUUAGAGGUGAAAGCCCGGGGCUCAACCCCGGAACUGCCUUUAAGACUGCAUCGCUUGAAUCCGGGAGAGGUGAGUGGAAUUCCGAGUGUAGAGGUGAAAUGCGUAGAUAUCGGGAGGAACACCAGUGGCGAAGGCGACUUCCUGGCCUGUUCUUGACGCUGAGGCGCGAAAGCUAGGGGAGCAAACGGG
This 253-nucleotide ribosomal RNA is filed under the name uncultured bacterium. Its description in RNAcentral is "partial 16S ribosomal RNA". It matches the Rfam family "Bacterial small subunit ribosomal RNA", at positions 524 to 776 of the family's 1533-position model. The record is from RNAcentral.